UUCCGGUCUCUGGAGCGCUGGGCCACAGAGACGAUGCUAGCGGAAGCCUAGAGAGGCCGCUACGAGUCUGGAAGGGACCUGAGGCUUCCGCCCAGCGGAGAGGCAAGAUGGCUACGACUAGGGGCGGCUCUGGGCCUGACCCAGGAAGUCGGGGUCUUCUUCUUCUGUCUUUUUCCGUGGUACUGGCAGGAUUGUGUGGGGGAAACUCAGUGGAGAGGAAAAUCUACAUUCCCUUAAAUAAAACAGCUCCUUGUGUCCGCCUGCUCAACGCCACUCAUCAGAUUGGCUGCCAGUCUUCAAUUAGUGGGGAUACAGGGGUUAUCCAUGUAGUGGAGAAAGAAGAAGACCUGAAGUGGGUGUUGACCGAUGGCCCCAACCCCCCUUACAUGGUUCUGCUGGAGGGCAAGCUCUUCACCAGAGAUGUAAUGGAGAAGCUGAAGGGAACAACCAGUAGAAUCGCUGGUCUUGCCGUGACUCUAGCCAAGCCCAACUCAACUUCAAGCUUCUCUCCUAGUGUGCAGUGCCCAAAUGAUGGGUUUGGUAUUUACUCCAACUCCUACGGGCCAGAGUUUGCUCACUGCAAGAAAACACUGUGGAAUGAACUGGGCAACGGCUUGGCUUAUGAAGACUUUAGUUUCCCCAUCUUUCUUCUUGAAGAUGAGAACGAAACCAAGGUCAUCAAGCAGUGCUAUCAAGAUCACAACCUGGGUCAGAAUGGCUCUGCACCAAGCUUCCCAUUGUGUGCUAUGCAGCUCUUCUCACACAUGCACGCCGUCAUCAGCACUGCCACCUGCAUGCGGCGCAGCUUCAUCCAGAGCACCUUCAGCAUCAACCCAGAAAUCGUCUGUGACCCCUUAUCCGACUACAACGUAUGGAGCAUGCUUAAGCCUAUAAAUACAUCUGUGGGACUAGAACCUGACGUCAGGGUUGUGGUUGCGGCCACACGGCUGGAUAGCCGGUCCUUUUUCUGGAAUGUGGCCCCAGGGGCUGAAAGUGCUGUAGCCUCCUUUGUCACUCAGCUGGCUGCAGCUGAAGCUUUGCACAAGGCACCUGAUGUGACCACUCUAUCCCGAAAUGUGAUGUUUGUCUUCUUCCAGGGGGAAACUUUUGACUACAUUGGCAGCUCACGGAUGGUCUAUGAUAUGGAGAACGGCAAGUUUCCCGUGCGGCUCGAGAACAUUGACUCCUUCGUGGAGCUGGGACAGGUGGCCCUAAGAACUUCACUAGAUCUCUGGAUGCACACAGAUCCCAUGUCUCAGAAAAAUGAGUCUGUGAAAAACCAGGUGGAGGAUCUUCUGGCCACUCUGGAGAAGAGCGGUGCUGGUGUCCCUGAAGUUGUCCUGAGGAGACUGGCCCAGUCCCAGGCCCUUCCACCUUCGUCUCUACAACGAUUUCUUCGGGCUCGAAACAUCUCUGGCGUGGUCCUGGCUGACCACUCUGGCUCCUUCCACAAUCGGUAUUACCAGAGCAUUUAUGACACGGCUGAGAACAUUAAUGUGACCUAUCCUGAGUGGCAGAGCCCAGAAGAGGACCUCAACUUUGUGACAGACACUGCCAAGGCACUGGCGAAUGUGGCCACAGUGCUGGCGCGUGCACUGUAUGAGCUUGCAGGAGGAACCAACUUCAGCAGCUCCAUCCAGGCUGAUCCCCAGACAGUUACACGUCUGCUCUAUGGGUUCCUGGUUAGAGCUAACAACUCAUGGUUUCAGUCGAUCUUGAAACAUGACCUAAGGUCCUAUUUGGAUGACAGGCCUCUUCAACACUACAUCGCCGUCUCCAGCCCUACCAACACGACUUACGUUGUGCAGUACGCCUUGGCAAACCUGACUGGCAAGGCGACCAACCUCACCCGAGAGCAGUGCCAGGAUCCAAGUAAAGUCCCAAAUGAGAGCAAGGAUGUGAGUGGCGUUAUAUGAAUACUCGUGGGUACAAGGCCCUUGGAAUUCCAACAGGACAGAGAGGCUCCCACAGUGUGUGCGCUCCACAGUGCGACUGGCCAGGGCCUUGUCCCCUGCCUUUGAACUGAGUCAGUGGAGCUCCACAGAAUACUCUACGUGGGCGGAGAGCCGCUGGAAAGACAUCCAAGCUCGGAUAUUCCUAAUUGCCAGCAAAGAGCUUGAGUUCAUCACGCUGAUCGUGGGCUUCAGCACCCUUGUCUUCUCCCUCAUCGUCACCUACUGCAUCAAUGCCAAAGCCGACGUCCUUUUCGUUGCUCCCCGAGAGCCAGGAGCUGUGUCUUACUGAAGAGGACUCUAGCUCUCCCUGCCUGCUCUGAACUUUACUUCCCAGACCAGGUGUCCGGCUGGGAACAAACCACUAAUUUGUCACUGGACUGUCUCUGGGCCUGCUUAGACGGGGAUUGACACACAGAAUGGAACUGUGAGUGGAGAGAUGAAUAAGUUGCCCCCCCAGCCCCCCUUCCCAUUUGUUUCUCCUUCUCUAAUCCCAGGGACUAUGGUAGAGACUUGCUGCUCCUAACUCCCCAGUUACCCACCCUCCUCUGCCCUUUCUCGGGAUACCUUCUGUCCUUCCAUCCUGCCCUGUACUGCCCUCUGACUCCACUGUCACCCGACACCCCUCCCCCAUAUUCAGCCACCUGCUGCACCAGGAAGAGGGUGUGAAAGAUUGUGCAUCUGCAUUCAACUACCCUGAACCCUUAGGGAAGAAAUGGAUUCCCUGGCUGAGCCAGUGUCUCUUUCCCACUGUCCUUUCUCCAGGUGUGCAGAUGGCAUGUUAGUGUGGGCACGCUGUUAAGUGGGUAUCCCACCUCCAGCCCACAGUGCUCAGUUGUACUUUUUAUUAUUAAACUAUAAUUAUCUAUUUUUGUUGGGGUUUUUUCCUUUUUUUUUUUUUUUGUAAGUAUAUAAAUAGCAAGUUUCAUUAAAAUUAUGCAAUACAA
Mus musculus (house mouse) is the source of this 2899-nucleotide RNA transcript. It is a transcript of the gene named nicastrin, with no coding region annotated. The transcript has 17 exons. Lineage: Eukaryota; Metazoa; Chordata; Mammalia; Rodentia; Muridae. The record is from RefSeq and is marked validated.